UUUUGGACAAUGGGCGAAAGCCUGAUCCAGCCAUGCCGCGUGAGUGAAGAAGGCCUUCGGGUUGUAAAGCUCUUUUAGUUGGAAAGAAAGAAUUAUGGUUAAUAACUAUAAUUUAUGACGGUACCAACAGAAAAAGCACCGGCUAACUACGUGCCAGCAGCCGCGGUAAUACGUAGGGUGCGAGCGUUAAUCGGAAUUACUGGGCGUAAAGGGUGCGCAGGCGGCCAUGCAAGUCAGAUGUGAAAGCCCCGGGCUUAACCUGGGAAUUGCGUUUGAAACUGCAAGGCUAGAGUGCAACAGAGGGGAGUGGAAUUCCAUGUGUAGCAGUGAAAUGCGUAGAGAUGUGGAAGAACACCGAUGGCGAAGGCAGCUCCCUGGGUUGACACUGACGCUCAUGCACGAAAGCGUGGGGAGCAAACAGGA
Molecule: ribosomal RNA, 423 nt
Filed under: uncultured bacterium
Lineage: Bacteria
Description: bacterial SSU rRNA
Rfam family: Bacterial small subunit ribosomal RNA
Source: RNAcentral